RNAcentral lists this small RNA (1237 nucleotides) under Pan troglodytes (chimpanzee). Its description in RNAcentral is "retained intron". The record is from RNAcentral. Lineage: Eukaryota; Metazoa; Chordata; Mammalia; Primates; Hominidae.
AACGAUGUAGAGACCUACAGAGUUGAAACAGUGAAACCUGGAAAGAUUGUCUGGCAGGAAGACCCUCGUUUACAAGACAGCAGUUCAGAAGAGGAAGAUGUUACUGAAGAAACAGAUCACAGAAAGUCCAGUCCUGGAGAAGCAUCAUUACUUGAGAAAGAGACCACUAGAUUUUUCUUUUUCUCUAAGAAUGAUGAACGACUUCAAGGUCAGUCCAUUUUUUUCAUCAAAUUACAUACAUAGAACAGGUAAUAAUACAGCUACAGUAAUUCACAUCCAGGAAUUUUGACCUUUCGUAAUGUCAUGUGGUUUAACCCCGUUUGUUCACACUGAUGAAUGUUAACUUGUAAAGCUGUCAAGGUCUGAGAGCUCCCCACUCACCACUUUCUUUGCCCGCUCAUUCUCAUCAACAAAGGGUUGUUUUGUUCCAAGGGCUUCCUUGGAUGUUAGACAUAUAAAACCCCUAAGUUUUAGUGCCAUAAAUUCCAUGUGAAAACUCAGGCUGUUGGGGAGCUCAUUUCUUAAAGCCUAGCAUAAACAAAGUUACAUAAUAGUAAAUGAUAUAUAUAAACAGUAAAAGCAAUAUUAUAUUUUUCAUUUGGAAAGAAAAAAUACUAAUUUUUGAAUACAGGUAGAAACUGAGGGAAAAGAAUGAUCUUAACUGGUAUUCGAGACCUUGAUAAUGCCAACACUUAGAAUAUUACCAAUUUUAGUAGUAGUUUGCUGCCUCAUCUUUCUUCUUUUUCCCCUAGUAGGUUCUGACUUAUUCUGGAGAGGAGUAGGAAGUAAUAUGAGCAGGAACUCUUGGGAGGCCAGAACAACCAACCUGCGUAUGGAUUGUCGAAAGAAACAUAAAGACGCAAAAAGGAAAAUGAAACCAAAAUAAUAAAUGUCAGUUGGUUUUGAUACUGAAUGUGAACAAGGCUCACUAAGGAAACUGACCCAGAAAACAGUUUUAGCUGACAAAGAAGAAAUUUCAGAGUGAAGGAAUUUUAAAAAUCUGGCUGACGGAAUAUCAUUCUGGUUGCCAUCUUUUUCUGUGGAACUCCUCUGCAUUUCUUCCUAAGUAAUUACUUCAAAAAUUAAAUUCAACUUCUUAUAAAGGAAGAACAAGAUAGUCCUUGAAAAUACUUUUUGUAUAUAAUCUCUUUGCCCUCUAUCCUGAGUAACUAAUGGACAUCUUCUCAUGCAAGGUUUACAUGAAGCCUUUUUUAAUAAAUGAGUCAAAGCACUUGUA